RNAcentral lists this small RNA (457 nucleotides) under Drosophila virilis. RNAcentral's name for it is "GJ26653". The record is from RNAcentral. Lineage: Eukaryota; Metazoa; Arthropoda; Insecta; Diptera; Drosophilidae.
CUAAGUGUUGGGACGAACCAUAAAAUGGCGUUUCUCGUUGAGCAAGAACUGAUUUCUGCGCGAUAUUAAAAUUAUAUAGUUAUCAACAAUUAAAGCGUGGACCGUGCACCUUAAUUCUCGCCAAAUAAUGUAGUUUUAGUAACGAAUUACAAAAAAAAAAUUGCAAAAUCCAACGGUGCAUGCAGCUAAAGUGCUUCAUCCGCAUUCAGUCGUCGUUGUUCAUAUAUCAUUUGCUCUCUCGCCGUCUCUCUUUCUCUUAAAUUGUCUGCACGCUGCCUGCAACGACUGUGCACCGUGUCUGUGUGUGUGUGUGUGUCAGUGUGUUUGUGUGUAACAUGUGCGUGUGAAAUGGUUUUAAGGCAGCGGAGCAGCAUCAACAAACCAACAACAACAACAACAACAGAGGCAAAACAGUUUAGGUUUGCAUUCGCAGCGCCAACAAACAACAACACAUGAC